RNAcentral lists this unclassified non-coding RNA (200 nucleotides) under Agaricomycetes sp. Its description in RNAcentral is "partial internal transcribed spacer 2". The record is from RNAcentral. Lineage: Eukaryota; Fungi; Basidiomycota; Agaricomycetes.
UUAAGUUCAGCGGGUAGUCCCACCUGAUCUGAGGUCAAGUUUCAUGAAAGAUGUCUCUCGACAAUUUGAAGCAAUCCCAACGUAAAGCCUGGAUGUAGAUAAUUAUCACACCAAGGCCCGCGUGGGUUUUUGCUAAUGCAUUCAAGGGGAGCGGAUCCAGAUAGACCCGCAAAGGCCCCCCAAAAUCCCCACCAUUCAUG